UCGCCUGUUUAUCAAAAACAUAGCCUUUAGCCAAACAAGUAUUAAAGGUCCCGCCUGCCCAGUGAUAAUUUAAACGGCCGCGGUAUUCUAACCGUGCAAAGGUAGCGUAAUCACUUGUCUCCUAAAUAGAGACCAGUAUGAACGGCUAAAUGAGGACAAACCUGUCUCUUACAACUAAUCAGUGAAACUGAUCUUCCAGUACAAAAGCUGGGAUAUUAUCAUAAGACGAGAAGACCCUGUGGAGCUUCAAACCGGCCAUCAACAAAUCAACAAACAAUAUACUGACGGACAGUUUUAAGUUGGGGCGACUUCGGGAAAAAACAAAACUCCCAAGCACAGAGCCAAAAGCUCUAACCACGGCCAACAAGCCAAAAUUAUACCAAAUAGACCCAGUAAUACUGAGCAACGAACCAAGUUACCCCAGGGAUAACAGCGCUAUCUUCUUCAAGAGUCCAUAUCGACAAGAAGGUUUACGACCUCGAUGUUGGAUCAGGACACCCAAAUGGUGCAGCCGCUAUUAAAGGUUCGUUUGUUCAACGAUUAACAGUCCUACGUGAUCUGAGUUCAGACCGGA
RNAcentral lists this ribosomal RNA (574 nucleotides) under Paracontias minimus. RNAcentral's name for it is "partial 16S ribosomal RNA". It matches the Rfam family "Bacterial large subunit ribosomal RNA", at positions 1796 to 2620 of the family's 2925-position model. Lineage: Eukaryota; Metazoa; Chordata; Lepidosauria; Squamata; Scincidae. The record is from RNAcentral.